CGGCCUACGGGAGGCAGCAGUGAGGAAUAUUGGUCAAUGGCCGCAGGGCUGAACCAGCCAAGUCGCGUGAGGGAUGACGGUCCUAUGGAUUGUAAACCUCUUUUGUCAGGGAGCAAAGGGCGCCACGUGUGGCGUUUUGCAAGUACCUGAAGAAAAAGCAUCGGCUAACUCCGUGCCAGCAGCCGCGGUAAUACGUAGGUGGCGAGCGUUAUCCGGAAUGAUUGGGCGUAAAGGGUGCGUAGGCGGCCUGCUAAGUCUGGAGUGAAAGGUACCGGCUCAACCGGUACAGGCUCUGGAAACUGGCG
Molecule: ribosomal RNA, 305 nt
Filed under: uncultured bacterium
Lineage: Bacteria
Description: bacterial SSU rRNA
Rfam family: Bacterial small subunit ribosomal RNA
Source: RNAcentral